RNAcentral lists this ribosomal RNA (791 nucleotides) under uncultured euryarchaeote. RNAcentral's name for it is "bacterial SSU rRNA". It matches the Rfam family "Archaeal small subunit ribosomal RNA", at positions 85 to 876 of the family's 1478-position model. The record is from RNAcentral. Lineage: Archaea; Methanobacteriati; Methanobacteriota.
ACGGCUCAGUAACACGUGGAUAACCUACCCUUAGGACCGGGAUAACCCUGGGAAACUGGGGCUAAUACUGGAUAGAUGAUUUUUCCUGCAAUGGUAUUUUGUCUAAAUGUUUUUUCGCCUAAGGAUGGGUCUGCGGCCGAUUAGGUAGUUGGUUAGGUAAUGGCUUACCAAGCCGUUUAUCGGUACGGGUUGUGAGAGCAAGAGCCCGGAGAUGGAACCUGAGACAAGGUUCCGGGCCCUACGGGGCGCAGCAGGCGCGAAACCUCCGCAAUGUGAGAAAUCGCGACGGGGGGACCCCAAGUGCCAUUCUUAACGGGAUGGCUUUUCUUGAGUGUAAAAAGCUCUUGGAAUAAGAGCUGGGCAAGACCGGUGCCAGCCGCCGCGGUAACACCGGCAGCUCUAGUGGUAGCCAUUUUUAUUGGGCCUAAAGCGUUCGUAGCCGGUUUAAUAAGUCUCUGGUGAAAUCCUACAGCUUAACUGUGGGAAUUGCUGGAGAUACUAUUAGACUUGAGGUCGGGAGAGGUUAGAGGUACUCCCAGGGUAGGGGUGAAAUCCUGUAAUCCUGGGAGGACCACCUGUGGCGAAGGCGUCUAACUGGAACGAACCUGACGGUGAGGGACGAAAGCUAGGGGCGCGAACCGGAUUAGAUACCCGGGUAGUCCUAGCCGUAAACGAUGCGGACUUGGUGUUAGGAUGGCUUUGAGCCGCCCUAGUGCCGAAGGGAAGCUGUUAAGUCCGCCGCCUGGGAAGUACGGUCGCAAGACUGAAACUUAAAGGAAUUGGCGGGGGAG